Molecule: ribosomal RNA, 89 nt
Filed under: Oceanithermus desulfurans
Lineage: Bacteria; Thermotogati; Deinococcota; Deinococci; Thermales; Thermaceae
Source: RNAcentral
CCGUUCCCAUACCGAACACGGAAGUGAAACACGCCAGCGCCGAUGAUACUUGGACCGCAGGGUCCUGGGAAAGUAGGGCGGUGCGGGGG